AAGUGUUACAGCUCUUUUAGAAUUUGUCUAGCAGGUUUUCUGGUCCUCAUUGGAAGACAAUGCCCUA
Suricata suricatta (meerkat) is the source of this 67-nucleotide small nuclear RNA. Its record names the gene U7. It matches the Rfam family "U7 small nuclear RNA". Rfam says of the family: Animal histone pre-mRNAs are spliced by a different mechanism than nuclear pre-mRNAs and self-splicing introns. This processing involves the U7 snRNP, which contains only one RNA species: U7. The 5' end of U7 RNA is thought to base-pair to a conserved spacer element downstream of the cleavage site in histone pre-mRNA. NCBI's taxonomy places the organism in Eukaryota, Metazoa, Chordata, Mammalia, Carnivora, Herpestidae. The record is from Ensembl.